Molecule: ribosomal RNA, 507 nt
Filed under: uncultured bacterium
Lineage: Bacteria
Description: bacterial SSU rRNA
Rfam family: Bacterial small subunit ribosomal RNA
Source: RNAcentral
AUGAACGCUGGCGGCGUGCCUAACACAUGCAAGUCGAACGAAGCAUCGCGCCCGAGGAAGCGGAGUGCUUGCACAAAGCGGACUCAAUUGUGAUGACUUAGUGGCGGACGGGUGAGUAACGCGUGGGUAACCUGCCCUAGUACAGGGGGAUAACAGUUAGAAAUGACUGCUAAUACCGCAUAAGCGCACACUAUCGCAUGGUAGAGUGUGAAAAGCCGAGACGGUAUAGGAUGGACCCGCGUCUGAUUAGCCAGUUGGCAGGGUAACGGCCUACCAAAGCAACGAUCAGUAGCCGGCCUGAGAGGGUGAACGGCCACAUUGGGACUGAGACACGGCCCAAACUCCUACGGGAGGCAGCAGUGGGGGAUAUUGCACAAUGGGGGAAACCCUGAUGCAAGCGACGCCGCGUGAGUGAAGAAGUAUUUCGGUAUGUAAAGCUCUAUCAGCAGGGAAGAAAAUGACGGUACCUGACUAAGAAGCUCCGGCUAAAUACGUGCCAGCAGCCGC